RNAcentral lists this ribosomal RNA (156 nucleotides) under Cladosporium cladosporioides. RNAcentral describes it as "5.8S ribosomal RNA". It matches the Rfam family "5.8S ribosomal RNA". From Rfam's summary of the family: 5.8S ribosomal RNA (5.8S rRNA) is a component of the large subunit of the eukaryotic ribosome. It is transcribed by RNA polymerase I as part of the 45S precursor that also contains 18S and 28S rRNA. Functionally, it is thought that 5.8S rRNA may be involved in ribosome translocation. RNAcentral also lists the same sequence under 2 other names. The record is from RNAcentral. Lineage: Eukaryota; Fungi; Ascomycota; Dothideomycetes; Cladosporiales; Cladosporiaceae.
GGAUCUCUUGGUUCUGGCAUCGAUGAAGAACGCAGCGAAAUGCGAUAAGUAAUGUGAAUUGCAGAAUUCAGUGAAUCAUCGAAUCUUUGAACGCACAUUGCGCCCCCUGGUAUUCCGGGGGGCAUGCCUGUUCGAGCGUCAUUUCACCACUCAAGC